RNAcentral lists this ribosomal RNA (497 nucleotides) under uncultured bacterium. RNAcentral describes it as "partial 16S ribosomal RNA". It matches the Rfam family "Bacterial small subunit ribosomal RNA", at positions 28 to 507 of the family's 1533-position model. The record is from RNAcentral.
GAUGAACGCUGGCGGCGUGCCUAAUACAUGCAAGUCGAGCGAACGGACGAGAAGCUUGCUUCUCUGAUGUUAGCGGCGGACGGGUGAGUAACACGUGGAUAACCUACCUAUAAGACUGGGAUAACUUCGGGAAACCGGAGCUAAUACCGGAUAAUAUUUUGAACCGCAUGGUUCAAAAGUGAAAGACGGUCUUGCUGUCACUUAUAGAUGGAUCCGCGCUGCAUUAGCUAGUUGGUAAGGUAACGGCUUACCAAGGCAACGAUGCAUAGCCGACCUGAGAGGGUGAUCGGCCACCCUGGAACUGAGACACGGUCCAGACUCCUACGGGGGGCAGCAGUAGGGAAUCUUCCGCAAUGGGCGAAAGCCUGACGGAGCAACGCCGCGUGAGUGAUGAAGGUCUUCGGCUCGUAAAACUCUGUUAUUAGGGAAGAACAUAUGUGUAAGUAACUGUGCACAUCUUGACGGUACCUAAUCAGAAAGCCACGGCUAACUACGUG